UUUCGUUUUUUAGUAAACGAAGAAGUACUCAGGCGGUCUACCUUCAUACACAGCUCGUUCAAGGCUGAAAAAUGGGUUGUUUAUUACGCCUUACUGCAUGCUGUUAUGAUUAUUGGUAUCUCUCAUUCAUCAGCGAGAAGACCGACCUACAAAGAUUCGCAGUUAACCGGUCGUUUAUACAACGGAACUGGACGCUCGAACAGUUACCGAGACAGUGCUCGUGGAUCUGAUUACGACAAUUAUGGCCCGAAACCAGUGG
Paramacrobiotus metropolitanus is the source of this 259-nucleotide long non-coding RNA. RefSeq lists it as uncharacterized. The record is from RefSeq and is a predicted model, not a curated record. The transcript is spliced from 3 exons. Lineage: Eukaryota; Metazoa; Tardigrada; Eutardigrada; Parachela; Macrobiotidae.